GACGAACGCUGGCGGCGUGCUUAACACAUGCAAGUCGUACGGUAAGGCCCUUUCGGGGGUCCACGAGUGGCGAACGGGGGAGUAACACGAGCGUAACCUUCCCACACCUUUGGGAUAACGCUAGGAAAGUGGAACCAAUGCUGGAUAUGGACUCCUGCUUCAUGCGCGGGGUUGGAUAGUGCCGGCGGUUGUUGAUGGACUCGCGGCCUAUCAGCUUGUUGGUGGGGUAGGGGCCUACCAAGGCGGCGACGGGUGGCCGGCCUGAGGGGGUGACCGGCCACACUGGGACUGAGAUACGGCCCCGACUCCGACGGGUGGGAGCUGUGGGGAAGCUUGCACAAGCGGCGCCAGCCUGAUGCAGAAGCGCCGCGUGCGGUAUGACGGUCUUCGGGUUGUAAACCGCUUUCAGCAGGGACGAAGCUUUUUGUGACGGUACCUGCAGAAGAAGCACCGGCUAACUACGUG
Molecule: ribosomal RNA, 465 nt
Filed under: uncultured bacterium
Lineage: Bacteria
Description: partial 16S ribosomal RNA
Rfam family: Bacterial small subunit ribosomal RNA
Source: RNAcentral